UGUAAAUUUUAAAGAUUACCUAAGACAGCAGGAGCUGAUUUUUCAGCUUAAUAAUAAUCCUGCCGAGGCAAAUAAAAAUGACUUGAAUGAACUAUAUAAAUUCAAGCACUUUUUGCCGCGGGUAAAAGGUGCUUUUUUAUUUGCACC
RNAcentral lists this small RNA (147 nucleotides) under Jeotgalicoccus saudimassiliensis. RNAcentral's name for it is "L10_leader". It matches the Rfam family "Ribosomal protein L10 leader". Rfam says of the family: This family is a putative r-protein leader autoregulatory structure found in B. subtilis and other low-GC Gram-positive bacteria. The record is from RNAcentral. Lineage: Bacteria; Bacillati; Bacillota; Bacilli; Caryophanales; Staphylococcaceae.